UAGCUGGGGAAGGACCAGUAGUAAUAAAAGGUAGAAGUUACUUAGCUUGGAUAGAAGUGUGGAUGGUAACUGAAAUGCUUGAGCCUAUCGACGAAAAUCUGGGUAAGCCAGGUGAGCAACUUAGCAGGCUGUAAUGAAA
This is a non-coding RNA of Clostridium sp. BL8, 139 nucleotides long. The record is from Rfam. NCBI's taxonomy places the organism in Bacteria, Bacillati, Bacillota, Clostridia, Eubacteriales, Clostridiaceae.